UACGUAGGGGGCAAGCGUUGUCCGGAAUCAUUGGGCGUAAAGCGCGCGUAGGCGGCCCUGUAAGUCCGCUGUAAAAGUCAAAGGCUCAACCUUUGAAAGCCGGUGGAUACUGCCGGGCUGGAGUCCGGAAGAGGCGAGUGGAAUUCCUGGUGUAGCGGUGAAAUGCGCAGAUAUCAGGAGGAACACCAAUGGCGAAGGCAGCUCGCUGGGACGGUACUGACGCUGAGACGCGAAAGCGUGGGGAGCAAACAGG
This 253-nucleotide ribosomal RNA is filed under the name uncultured bacterium. Its description in RNAcentral is "partial 16S ribosomal RNA". It matches the Rfam family "Bacterial small subunit ribosomal RNA", at positions 524 to 776 of the family's 1533-position model. The record is from RNAcentral.